CAGCCGCCGCGGUAAUACGGAGGGAGCUAGCGUUGUUCGGAAUGACUGGGCGUAAAGGGCGCGUAGGCGGUUUGUACAGUUGGAUGUGAAAUUCCUGGGCUUAACCUGGGGGCUGCAUUCAAUACGUGCAGGCUUGAGUGUGGAAGAGGGUUGUGGAAUUCCCAGUGUAGAGGUGAAAUUCGUAGAUAUUGGGAAGAACACCGGUGGCGAAGGCGGCAACCUGGUCCAUUACUGACGCUGAGGCGCGAAAGCGUGGGGAGCAAACAGGAUUAGAUACCCCUGUAGUCCCUGUCUCUUAUAC
Molecule: ribosomal RNA, 301 nt
Filed under: uncultured bacterium
Lineage: Bacteria
Description: partial 16S ribosomal RNA
Rfam family: Bacterial small subunit ribosomal RNA
Source: RNAcentral